This 497-nucleotide ribosomal RNA is filed under the name uncultured bacterium. RNAcentral's name for it is "partial 16S ribosomal RNA". It matches the Rfam family "Bacterial small subunit ribosomal RNA", at positions 28 to 507 of the family's 1533-position model. The record is from RNAcentral.
GAUGAACGCUGGCGGCGUGCCUAAUACAUGCAAGUCGAGCGAACGGACGAGAAGCUUGCUUCUCUGAUGUUAGCGGCGGACGGGUGAGUAACACGUGGAUAACCUACCUAUAAGACUGGGAUAACUUCGGGAAACCGGAGCUAAUACCGGAUGAUAUUUUGAACCGCAUGGUUCAAAAGUGAAAGACGGUCUUGCUGUCACUUAUAGAUGGAUCCGCGCUGCAUUAGCUAGUUGGUAAGGUAACGGCUUACCAAGGCAACGAUGCAUAGCCGACCUGAGAGGGUGAUCGGCCACACUGGAACUGAGACACGGUCCAGACUCCUACGGGAGGCAGCAGUAGGGAAUCUUCCGCAAUGGGCGAAAGCCUGACGGAGCAACGCCGCGUGAGUGAUGAAGGUCUUCGGAUCGUAAAACUCUGUUAUUAGGGAAGAACAUAUGUGUAAGUAACUGUGCACAUCUUGACGGUACCUAAUCAGAAAGCCACGGCUAGCUACGUG